AACGGAGGCGGUCGCAUUUUUCUUUCCUCUCCUCCCUGCCUUCCCUGCUUCGCUUGUUUUUCUCUUGUCUUGUCUACUUGAGAGACUCUCUCUGCACUGCUCUCCUAAACUGGAAUAUGGAUUUGAUUAAUUGGUCUCUCAACGCAAUUGACACCAUCUUCUCGACGAGAAGCUUGGGUUCGGGGGAACCUGACUGCCCUGACGGAAUGUUCGCAGCUGGCUACACGAUGGACGCGUGGGAGAGUCUCACAAGGCUGCCCGUCAUGAUUGAAGUAGUGGGCAGAGCGGUCAGCAUUGAGACUGAGACUAUUAACCGCAAUAUGGAUAACAUCACGAAGAAGCUCACGGAUUUGGAAAGGAAAUUGGAGAAUUUGGAGACAAAUGGACAAUGAACAAUCAUAGUGACCGUGAAAA
Molecule: long non-coding RNA, 414 nt
Organism: Carassius carassius (crucian carp)
Lineage: Eukaryota; Metazoa; Chordata; Actinopteri; Cypriniformes; Cyprinidae
Exons: 2
Source: RefSeq, a predicted model, not a curated record